CGGCACACUUAAACCGUCGGGUGGUCCAGGACGAGGAGAAGGCAUGGCGAUUGACGCUGGGCAGACUUGAGGGAAACCGCCCGGCGGUGGCGAUUGCCGCCGGGCGGUAGUGCGAUUUGUGGCAAACCGCCGGGCGGCACACUUAAACCACCCGGUGGUGGCUUGCUGGACUUGGACUCGUUUUCUGAUGCACUCCUCACCUAUAUAUACCCCUAUUGCGAGUUCAGAAUCAUUCUUUUGACAGGGGAGAACGACCAGUCCUAAUUUUGCUCUCUAGAGAGGAUCUCUUGGAUGCUUAGGCUCCUUUUCAUCUUUUCUAGGGUUUGCUCUUCCAUUCUUCUUCCAUUUUUCAUCUAGUUUCACCAUGUCUAUGGUGAACUAAACCCUAUUGUUGUUGGGAGAAACAAUGUAAUCUUUUGAUGCUCUCUUUUAUUGAAACUCUUGAUUAUUUAUAUGGUCUCCAUAUGUGUAUAUUGAUGUUUGUCUUUAUUGAUAUGGGGGCGUACAGUAAUGACAUGAACUGGUGAGUAAUCUCUUGAUUUUGCAAUACCACCUAGGGAUAGGGAUAGGACGAUCAAUUGCGCUAACUUCUGUUUAUAAUGCGGUAUUAAUUACUAGGGGAGGCUAGGGAUAACAAGCUAGUAGUUAAUAUUAGGCCCUUUUCGCCGAGGGAUCGGGUUAAGGGGAGACUAAGAAAGUCACAUAACAAUUGAAUCAAUCAAACUAAUAUUCGAGGGUAGUAUGUAAGAGAUAGCGAAAUAGAUGAAAUUGUAAACCCCCAACAACAUNCAUUCAUCCAUUGUUUUCGUUUGUCAAUUGAAUCAACAUUUAUUUUUGCAUGUUAAUAUUUUUGUUCUCAAAUCCAAUUUAUUAAUUUUUAUUUUUC
RNAcentral lists this long non-coding RNA (886 nucleotides) under Vigna radiata. RNAcentral describes it as "long non-coding RNA (VRAD_LNC015694)". The record is from RNAcentral. Lineage: Eukaryota; Viridiplantae; Streptophyta; Magnoliopsida; Fabales; Fabaceae.